This is a long non-coding RNA of Aplysia californica (California sea hare), 338 nucleotides long. RefSeq lists it as uncharacterized. The transcript is spliced from 2 exons. NCBI's taxonomy places the organism in Eukaryota, Metazoa, Mollusca, Gastropoda, Aplysiida, Aplysiidae. The record is from RefSeq and is a predicted model, not a curated record.
ACGAGAAGAAGCUGACAGAAUGACGGAGCAACGAACCACACCUUCCCUGGUGGGAGCGGAGGAGACCCAGGUGGAGAUUGGAAGUGUUAGCACCUAUUGUUCUGUAUCGGGACGGUUAAGUUGAACUUCGGAUGAGUUGAUUUUUCUUUCACUCCCUCAACAACAUCAACUCUUCCGUAGUGCGUGUUCGUUCAGAUUUAUGUAUAAAAAGUCUUUCUUACUUUCACUUUGUUUUAUAACAACAUACUAAUUCAAUUUGUCGUUUUUGUUCACUUUUACACUAAUAUGGCGUCGAGUAGUUCGAAGAAACGGGCAUGGGACAUUAUUUUAGGAAAAAA